Molecule: ribosomal RNA, 477 nt
Filed under: uncultured bacterium
Lineage: Bacteria
Description: partial 16S ribosomal RNA
Rfam family: Bacterial small subunit ribosomal RNA
Source: RNAcentral
GACGAACGCUGGCGGCGUGCUUAACACAUGCAAGUCGAACGGUGAAGCGCCUUUCUUUUUGGUGGGUGUGGUUGCGUGGCGAACGGGUGAGUAACACGUGAGUAACCUGCCCCCUUCUUUUGGAUAACCGCAUGAAAGUGUGGCUAAUACGGGAUAUCCUGCGUCUGUCGCAUGAUGGGUCUGGGACAGAUAUUGGGGCGGUGGGGGAGGGACUCGCGGCGUUUCAGCGUGUUGGUGGGGUAGUGGCCUAUCAAGGCGGUGACGGGUAGCCGGCAGGAGAGGGUGACGGGCCACAGUGGGAGGGAGAUACGGCCGAGACUCCUACGGGAGGCAGCAGUGGGGAAUAGUGCACAAUGGGCGGAAGCCUGAUGCAGCAACGCCGCGUGCGGGAGGACGGCCGUCGGGUUGUAAACCGCGUGCGCCGGUGAAGAAGCGUGAGGGACGGUAAUGGGUAAAGAAGCACCGGCGAACGAAGUG